UUUGUUUCACCUUUGUCUCACCUUCUCCUUCUUAGAGAAUGGCAAGUCAAGAUUGUCAGGGUUCUUCUUUUUUUCGCCAGAGACGAUUAACAACGGCCAAUCAUUGCUGGAAUCUGCCGUUCAUUUCAAUUCGACUGUAGUUCUUCUCACCGACAAUAGGAAACCGAACAUCGGUGAAUCUGCACUCUAAAUAGUUGAGUUUGUAUCCGUAUAAUUCAUCAUCUCAUGCUUUACAUAUCGUUGUUACUCGCCUUCUUGGUUUUGGAUUAGAGCUCUCUGGCUUUAACGAAUCCAUGAACGUUUUCUGCGAGCAGCUUGGAGUGAAAGCUCAUGGUCAUGGGACGGCAAGUAGGAUGGUUUUCCUCCCGGUGGAGGAGAUGGUGACUGUUUUGACACCACCGUAGUGGGAUCGAGGUAGGAGAGAGUGGAGUCGGGGAACUUGUCUUCGAUGGAAAUGACAGAGGAGAUGGUAGUUGAGAAGGAUCAGGUGGUUGAGUUAGAGCUGCGGCGGCUGCUGAAUUGAGGGAGAGAUUAGGAGAAAGAGCGUGUGAAGGAGAGAGGCCAUGAAUGUGGAGGUUGUGAAAAGGAAUGGUUUGACUGAAUGUGAUGUUACAUAUUCCGGUGGAGCAAAACAGUCGUGUCUUAUCUUGGUCUCCAAGUGCGUGAAUCCAAAUGUUGUCUUCUCAAGAUCUAUCACCCAAUGCCUCUCCCAUUACUUGAAACUGCGAGUAUAACUAUAAUCGAAGGCUGAUAGGUGUGGCGAGACCAUUGUGACAAAGCUUCUGCAUUUAUGGGAAGCACGGAAUGUGAAUAAGGGUGGUGAUCUCAUUGGUGUUUAUAUUACUUUGGUGGAUGAGAUGAUAUAUUUUUAUUAACUUAAACUCUGAUUUUUUAUACCACAAAUAAAUCUUAUUAUUUCUAUUAACUCGAUGGAGUAAAUCUUAUUGUUUCUAUUAGGUUCACGGAGAAGACCAGUUUUGUUGAGAUUGCAAAGAACAUUAACCAUAUCCCUACGUUGAAUCUCUCUUUGUAGUUACAACAUGGUCAACUCUGAGGACAAGACAAACAAGAGCAAAAGUGUCUUCUUGGCAUGUUCUUUGAGUCUUUAAGAUUUCUCACACACACAUCAGGAAUAGUAGAUACUCAGGGUCUCAUCGCCCUCAUGAUGAUGACACCAGGCGGGAGAAGACAUAAAGCCAGCUACAGUUUUUAAAACGGUGAAGAACUUGAAAUGUUGAAAUUCCAUGUGUACUUCAGCAAAAUACCUUCUCAUUGCGGUGUUCUUGCUCAAGAAACCCAACAGCAUAAGAUGCCUGGAUGUUGGACUCCACAGAGGGCAUGGAUAAUCGUAAAAGAACUCGGAAGUAAGUUUUUAAAACAGUGUCUUUGUUUCUCUUUUGGUGUAUAUUUCAUAACUAAAAAUGAUUUGAUUGCUGAAUUUGAUGACAAGUGUAUGUAUGUAAUGAUAAUUUCUCUGUGUGUUUCUUGAUGUAUUUGAAUAGAAU
This is a long non-coding RNA of Brassica oleracea var. oleracea, 1505 nucleotides long. RefSeq lists it as uncharacterized. The record is from RefSeq and is a predicted model, not a curated record. The transcript has 4 exons. NCBI's taxonomy places the organism in Eukaryota, Viridiplantae, Streptophyta, Magnoliopsida, Brassicales, Brassicaceae.